This 50-nucleotide transfer RNA is filed under the name Paroedura sanctijohannis. Its description in RNAcentral is "tRNA-Leu". Lineage: Eukaryota; Metazoa; Chordata; Lepidosauria; Squamata; Gekkonidae. The record is from RNAcentral.
ACUUUCAAUGGGCACCAGCACGCCCACCAAUCUUAGGAGUUGGCCGCUCU